This is a non-coding RNA of Pelobates cultripes (western spadefoot toad), 285 nucleotides long. Lineage: Eukaryota; Metazoa; Chordata; Amphibia; Anura; Pelobatidae. The record is from the annotation of a GenBank genome assembly.
ACAAGGCCAAGGUCACAAGGGAGGUGUGAUUAUGGAAAACUCUAGAAUGGGACAGUCAGAAGAACGAUAGGGGUAAAUGGGAAACAACCCAAUUGAUACCCCCUAAUUUUUUACACUCACACCAUGUUCUCCAACCACCCACACACAUUAAGGAGAGUUUAUCAAGCAUCCUGUCAGAUCAACACAUACCCACGGGGGUAACCCCUAGUCUUAAUUCUGGUUGUUUUAAAGAUUUCUCUAUAUGGUAACACCAAUAUGCUAUGUUCGAUACUGACCAACAAUGAC